UAAUCAGAGUGGGACUGGCCUUUGU
This 25-nucleotide non-coding RNA is filed under the name Rattus norvegicus (Norway rat). The record is from RNAcentral. Lineage: Eukaryota; Metazoa; Chordata; Mammalia; Rodentia; Muridae.